RNAcentral lists this ribosomal RNA (797 nucleotides) under Bacillus mojavensis. Its description in RNAcentral is "bacterial SSU rRNA". It matches the Rfam family "Bacterial small subunit ribosomal RNA", at positions 557 to 1354 of the family's 1533-position model. Lineage: Bacteria; Bacillati; Bacillota; Bacilli; Caryophanales; Bacillaceae. The record is from RNAcentral.
GGCGUAGAGGGCUCGCAGGCGGUUUCUUAAGUCUGAUGUGAAAGCCCCCGGCUCAACCGGGGAGGGUCAUUGGAAACUGGGGAACUUGAGUGCAGAAGAGGAGAGUGGAAUUCCACGUGUAGCGGUGAAAUGCGUAGAGAUGUGGAGGAACACCAGUGGCGAAGGCGACUCUCUGGUCUGUAACUGACGCUGAGGAGCGAAAGCGUGGGGAGCGAACAGGAUUAGAUACCCUGGUAGUCCACGCCGUAAACGAUGAGUGCUAAGUGUUAGGGGGUUUCCGCCCCUUAGUGCUGCAGCUAACGCAUUAAGCACUCCGCCUGGGGAGUACGGUCGCAAGACUGAAACUCAAAGGAAUUGACGGGGGCCCGCACAAGCGGUGGAGCAUGUGGUUUAAUUCGAAGCAACGCGAAGAACCUUACCAGGUCUUGACAUCCUCUGACAAUCCUAGAGAUAGGACGUCCCCUUCGGGGGCAGAGUGACAGGUGGUGCAUGGUUGUCGUCAGCUCGUGUCGUGAGAUGUUGGGUUAAGUCCCGCAACGAGCGCAACCCUUGAUCUUAGUUGCCAGCAUUCAGUUGGGCACUCUAAGGUGACUGCCGGUGACAAACCGGAGGAAGGUGGGGAUGACGUCAAAUCAUCAUGCCCCUUAUGACCUGGGCUACACACGUGCUACAAUGGACAGAACAAAGGGCAGCGAAACCGCGAGGUUAAGCCAAUCCCACAAAUCUGUUCUCAGUUCGGAUCGCAGUCUGCAACUCGACUGCGUGAAGCUGGAAUCGCUAGUAAUCGCGGAUCACAU